RNAcentral lists this ribosomal RNA (366 nucleotides) under uncultured bacterium. RNAcentral describes it as "bacterial SSU rRNA". It matches the Rfam family "Bacterial small subunit ribosomal RNA", at positions 64 to 430 of the family's 1533-position model. The record is from RNAcentral.
GAGCGGUAACAGGUGUAGCGAUACAUGCUGACGAGCGGCGAACGGGUGAGUAAUGCUUCGGAAUCUGCCCAAUGGUGGGGAAUAACCAGCCGAAAGGUUGGCUAAUACCGCAUAAGUCCUACGGGGGAAAGCAGGGGAUCGCAAGACCUUGCGCCGAUGGAUGAGCCGAAGUCGGAUUAGCUGGUUGGUGGGGUAACGGCCCACCAAGGCGAUGAUCCGUAGCUGGUCUGAGAGGAUGAUCAGCCACACUGGGACUGAGACACGGCCCAGACUCCUACGGGAGGCAGCAGUGGGGAAUAUUGGACAAUGGGGGCAACCCUGAUCCAGCAAUGCCGCGUGAGUGAUGAAGGCCUUCGGGUUGUAAAG